UACGUAGGGUGCAAGCGUUGUCCGGAAUUAUUGGGCGUAAAGAGCUCGUAGGCGGUCUGUCGCGUCGGCUGUGAAAACUCGGGGCUCAACUCCGAGCUUGCAGUCGAUACGGGCAGACUAGAGUGCGGUAGGGGAGAAUGGAACUCCUGGUGUAGCGGUGGAAUGCGCAGAUAUCAGGAAGAACACCGAUGGCGAAGGCAGUUCUCUGGGCCGUAACUGACGCUGAGGAGCGAAAGCGUGGGGAGCGAACAGG
Molecule: ribosomal RNA, 253 nt
Filed under: uncultured bacterium
Lineage: Bacteria
Description: partial 16S ribosomal RNA
Rfam family: Bacterial small subunit ribosomal RNA
Source: RNAcentral